AGACAGUACCUAAGGAGGAAGCCCCGGCUAACUAUGUGCCAGCAGCCGCGGUAAUACAUAGGGGGCAAGCGUUAUCCGGAUUUAUUGGGUGUAAAGGGUGCGUAGACGGAGAUACAAGUUGGUUGUGAAAUCCCUCGGCUCAACUGAGGAACUGCAACCAAAACUAUAUCCCUUGAGUGUCGGAGGGGAAAGUGGAAUUCCUAGUGUAGCGGUGAAAUGCGUAGAUAUUAGGAGGAACACCGGUGGCGAAGGCGACUUUCUGGACGAUAACUGACGUUGAGGCACGAAAGUGUGGGGAGCAAACAGGAUUAGAUACCCUG
This 320-nucleotide ribosomal RNA is filed under the name uncultured bacterium. Its description in RNAcentral is "bacterial SSU rRNA". It matches the Rfam family "Bacterial small subunit ribosomal RNA", at positions 470 to 789 of the family's 1533-position model. The record is from RNAcentral.